AGGGUUUGAUCCCGGCUCAGAACGAACGCUGGCGGCGUGGUUGAGGCAUGCAAGUCGAACGAGAACGUCCCCUUCGGGGGGCUAGUACAGUGGCGAAAGGGUGAGCAAUGCAUAGAUAACCUACCUGCGAGUUGGGGACAACCCCGGGAAACUGGGGCUAAUACCCAAUAAGACCACAGGUUCGAUAGUUUCUGCGGUAAAAGGAGGGGACCUCUUCGGGGGCCUUUCACUUGCAGAGGGGUCUAUGUCCUAUUAGCUUGUUGGCGGGGUAACGGCCCACCAAGGCGAUGAUGGGUAGGGGCACUGAGAGGUGAGACCCCCACACUGGGACUGAGACACUGCCCAGACUCCUACGGGAGGCUGCAGUUCGGAAUAAUUCGCAAUGGGCGCAAGCCUGACGAUGCGACGCCGCGUGGACGAUGAAGGCCUUACGGUUGUAAAGUCCUGUCACAUGUUAGAAAGUGCACUGCGGUUAAUACCCGCAGUGCUUGAUAAAGGCAUGAGAGGAAGCUCCGGCUAAAUUCGUGCCAGCAGCCGCGGUAAUACGAAUGGAGCAAGCGUUGUUCGGUCUUAUUGGGCUUAAAGGGUGCGUAGGCGGCCGUGUAAGUCAGUGGUGAAAGCCCCCAGCUUAACUGGGGAACUGCCUUUGAUACUGCAUGGCUCGAGAGUUGGAGGGGAGAGCGGAAUUCCCGGUGUAACGGUGAAAUGUGCAGAUAUCGGGGAGAAGGCCGGUGGCGAAGGCGGCUCUCUGGACAACUUCUGACGCUGAGGCACGAAAGCUAGGGGAGCAAACGGGAUUAGAUACCCCGGUAGUCCUAGCUGUAAACGAUGGGCACUUCGUAGGGGGGAUACCGAUAAUUUUCCCUGCUGAAGCGAAAGCGUUAAGUGCCCCGCCUGGGGAGUAUGGUCGCAAGAUUAAAACUCAAAGGAAUUGACGGGGGCUCACACAAGCGGUGGAGCAUGUUGUUUAAUUCGAUCAACGCGAAGAACCUUACCGGGGCUUGACAUGCACGGAUUAGUCUCCUGAAAGGGAGGUGACGCCCUCUGGGUGGAACGUGCACAGGUGCUGCAUGGCUGUCGUCAGUUCGUGUCGUGAGAUGUCGGGUUAAGUCCCUUAACGAACGAAACCCCUGUCGGUAAUUACCAGCGCGUCAUGGCGGGAACUUUACCGAGACUGCCGGUGUUAAACCGGAGGAAGGUGGGGACGACGUCAAGUCCUCAUGGCCCUUACGCCCCGGGCCACAAACGUGCUACAAUGGCAGGUACAGAGAGACGCAAAGCCGCGAGGUGGAGCAAAUCUUCAAAGCCUGCCCCAGUUCGGAUUGGAGGCUGCAAUUCGCCUCCAUGAAUGUCGGAAUCGCUAGUAACCGCGCAUCAGCUACGGCGCGGUGAAUACGUUCCUGAGCCUUGUACACACCGCCCGUCAAGCCACCCAAGUUGGGAGCACCCGAAGUCCGUGACCUAACCGCAAGGAUGGAGCGGCCGAAGGUGAGCUCGAUGAGGGGGACUAAGUCGUAACAAGGUA
RNAcentral lists this ribosomal RNA (1525 nucleotides) under metagenome. RNAcentral describes it as "bacterial SSU rRNA". It matches the Rfam family "Bacterial small subunit ribosomal RNA". The record is from RNAcentral.